RNAcentral lists this transfer RNA (65 nucleotides) under Teinopalpus aureus (golden kaiserihind). Its description in RNAcentral is "tRNA-Ser". The record is from RNAcentral. Lineage: Eukaryota; Metazoa; Arthropoda; Insecta; Lepidoptera; Papilionidae.
AGAAAUAUAAAAAUUAAGCUGCUAACUUAUAAUAUAGUGAUUAAUAAUCAUUAAUAUUUCUUAUU